Molecule: long non-coding RNA, 4127 nt
Organism: Haemorhous mexicanus (house finch)
Lineage: Eukaryota; Metazoa; Chordata; Aves; Passeriformes; Fringillidae
Exons: 2
Source: RefSeq, a predicted model, not a curated record
UUUCCUGGGUGCCAAUAGAGCAGCAAACUGGAAUUCUUUACUCCCAAAUUUCUGUUGUGACUUCCUUUCUUCAGCAGCUGUACAGCUAACAUGAAGUGUUAAGGUUCUCAUAGCAGAAUUUGCCAGUUUUGGGGAGAACAAGGGAAAGAAACAGCUCCAGGUCAAAUCUAAAUAGGGAACAGGAACAGGGGACCAGGGAGGAGGGUGUUCAGGGGGUUCCUAAGCUGCCUCUAUUUCUACCCUGUUGCAGCAAUGAGAGCAGAAUCAGCAGCACCCACUUCUUUGUUAUUCAGGGCAGCAGCUCUUUGUGCUACUGCUUUGAAUGCUCUUAACCAAACAUAGAGGGUGAUACCCUACCCUUCCCCAACUCCCCUGCUGUAACUGCUUUCUGAGCUGAGGUUUGAGGGCAGCACCAGGGGGGAUCACCAAAUCUAAUUGUAUCUUCCUUUUCUCUCCCUUCCCAUGUGCAUCGAUUGAAGUUUCCUGAAGGUGAGGUGAUGUUUUACAGUUGGUAAUGGACUUUUAUCUAAAAUGUGAUAGUUAUUUUUGUUGUUCUUUUCCAAGAAAGUCGAGCAGCAGGGAUUGAAACUUCUUUUCAGCAAAAGGCAAAGCACAGGGCUAAAGCCUCUGGCCUGUGUCUUAGAGAAUGGAUGCGAUGUGUGUGUGAUGGCCUCUGUCAGUCCCAGUGGGAAAUCCCUGCAAGAAAAGUGGUAGCUGAACACUUAUGCAGAAGGAACUUUAAUGUGGUAAUGCCUCCUGCAAUUUUAAUUGAUUAGCGAUUGGUUAGUGUGACAUGGACCCUGGAGUUGCAGAGGUCAUCGUUGCCUGGGGUUUCUGAGAGUUAAGGAGCAAACAGCAGUUCUUGACCCUUUGGCUGUUACAGACCAGGCCAUUAGAAAUGGUUCUCCCAGUAACUUGGUCAAUGUGUGGUCCACAAAAAUUGGAUUUGUUACUGGGGUGCAACAGGUAAAUGAUGAGCCACUUGAGAGAGACAUUGGAUGCUGGUUUCAGUGUUUCACCAGUCUGGGCGCUCAGUGGUAUUUCACAAAUCAGACACACCCACUUCCAAAAGAACUUCUAUUAUUUAUAAAUUUAAACCAAGAAAGAAAUUAGCAUUAAGUGGUUGCAAGUGACAUGGUUAUCUUCUUAGCCAGUAUUUUGUCUUCUUUUGGUUAGUGAUUGUCUCUCUUCUCACUGUAAUUAGUCCACUGAGUGCAUUGCUCAGUCUGCCUCUUCUUUUGGGCUGGGGAGGUUCUUGAGUUGCCGCUCCACGAGUCGGUGGUCGCAAUCUCCCCCUGCAGGAAUUACUUUUUACCAGUCAGAGCUGAUUUCAGGACAGUUGGGUUUCUUAGUUCCUUAUCCUGGGAGUUGUUCCAGAUUUCCAUGGGGCCCCUCAAUUCUGCAUUCUUUGCAUUCUUUGUGUCCACUCUCAGUGGGCAUCCUUCUCCCCAAACUUUGUUAAGCCUUCCCUGGGUCUGAGCUCCUUGAAGCAUGUCAAGCCCUGAACCUUAACAAGGCAAUUCUACCAACAAGGAAUUUGUUUUUCUGCCCCAUGGGCAUCACUUAGAUCUUGUUUGUGAGUUGUUGUCUAUUUAAUGGACCAUAUCUCCCAGUUGAUUUGGCUUGAACAUACAUAAAGAUCAAACAUGAAUACAAGCGGCAUCCUUCCUUAAGAAAUCUUUUACAUAUUCUGCAUUUUGCAUCACAUAUAACUCCAUUCUUAAAUUAGCUUAAUUAAGGAGGAAGAUAAUGACAAUUUUCUAAGGGCAUACUGCUUCAAGUAAUUUUUAGUUUCCAUGGACUGUCUUUGAGAAUCUCAGGUCACCUUUUUUAGCUGUGUGUAGGCUGAACAGAGCAAAAAUUUUGUGUUGUUUUGUAGCAGAGGAGCCACAAUGUGUGGAAGGGUCCACUCUUAGAAUUUGGGAAAGUAGCUUGUUUAUGCUUGUUUUUAAACCAGCUGAAUAGAGUCCAUUUCAAAUAGGAAGCAUUGCUGACUAUUUAUAUAACUCAUUUCAAGGGUAGCUCCAGGGAGAGAGAGAAUAAGAGAUCUAAUUUCUGAAAAUUAAAUUACAGUGUAUGGACAGGAAAGCAGAAAUGUUACACUGAACAGCCAGGAGCAGGUGGAUGGCUCUGGUAAUGGAACAGGAGCUCAUGAUGCACCUGUGGCUGACCCAGCCCCUGCAGAACAGGGAGCAGCAGAGGAGGACACUGCACAAUCGGAGUAUGUAUGGCUCAUGCCCUACCAAACACAGAGUUCUGUGCCUUUCUUUCUUUCCUGUGUAGGACUAAGUUCUACAAGUAUGCCUGGUUUAUCUUUGAGGCCUUCCCAUACUCUACUUAUUUCCCUCUUUCUCCCAUGUUGCAUGACGAUCAAAUGAUACCGUUUGCAUUUUGGGAGAAAAAGGCAGCCCAGAGCAGAUGUACAACUUUGCACAGAGCCUUAGAGAUGAGGGUGGGGGUAUGGCAAGGAAGGGGGGGGAUUGGUCACAGGCCAUGGCUCACUAUUGCAUUUGCUUUUCCUGACAAGCUCUGGUAGUGAUGUUAGAUGUGGAAAUGAAAUGUUAUCACGUGGGCUUGGCAUCAUGGAACUGGCAGGCAGCAGCUGGGCAAAUUCCAGUAGAAAUUCCCUGCUGGAAUGGUGCCAGCUGGUUGCCUUUCUCCUGGAGCUGGAGCCCUUCUUCCCAAGGUAGACUUGCACAGAGGCAGCUGUGGAGGUCAUGCUUUUAUGGCCAGUGCUGGGUGUCAUAAGCCCUGAUUUGUUUGCUUCUGUGGUGGAGAUCUUGCAGUUCAGGUUGGGUAAAAUCCUGCACAGUAAAAUCCCCAAGCUGCAGAGAAACAGGAAAGCCCUGCUGUAGGAGCACUCCAUCAGGAUAAGAAAGAUGCAAGUCAUUAGACUGAUUAAACCAGGUGCCUGUGUCACUAGGGAAGACAAAGAACAUGAGAAUUAUGGUAUAAGCUUUUCUAAAGUGUUUUUUUGGGGUGGGGGGAAAGACAGAGGUUUUAAUAUUACUGGUGUGCUUUGAGCCUUCUGGAAAGGCAAUAUAGGAGAGAACUUCAGUAUGGAACUUUCAGGUGUCAGGCCUUAAAAAUGCCACCUAAAGGGCUUCUACUAUUCUAAACCAUAAUGCAUUUUGCCAAUGAAUUUGUAGAUGUUUAAGUUUUGGUUGUUAAGUCUGUUGGUGAACAAAUGCCACCACCUGGUUAAUAUGAAAAAGGAAUGUUUUGUUCCUUCAGUCUCAAGCUUCUCAGUUGCUGAGUGUAGCUGCUCUGUUUAGGUAAGGCUGAAAGAGCUCAGUGCUGCAGCAUUUAAAAUUGACCAAAGGCUCCUUCCCAGGGCAGGAUGUUGCCAGAGCUGUUACUCUGUAAUUUAGAACUGGAUCCUGGAAUGAAUAUUCUGGGGUGAAGCAUUCCCAGAGGACAGCUGGAUGCUGUAGUCACAAAGCUCUUACUGGUGACCUGCUGGAAGUCAAAGCUGCCACACAGCAACUGGCCAGUGCUAGAGACUGCUGUUACUUCAAAUCCCAGAGCAGGGUGCCUGCCUGCACCUUUCUCCUGGUGAAAAGCAGGACACCCUUUCCCUCAAAGCAGGGAGGCCCCAAAUCCUCAUUAAAUGCAGCACACAGAGACUUAAAGGCAGCAGGGUUCUUAGAGGAAAUGUGUCAUGGCUAGUCAGUGCAGUUGCAUGAUUACAUGAGAUUUUAUGUAUCAAUAAGCAUUGAAGUGUGGUGAUCUUACCAGCUGCAUGUUCUUUCUAGUUCUGUUUCCUCCAGUGCACAGCAAGGAGUUGUCAUUAGGUGUCCAAUUUGCAUGGAAUUUUACUCCGAGAUUCUACAACAUGGACAACAGCUUGUGGUGACCCUGUGUGGCCAUGUCUUCUGCAGUAGAUGCCUCCCUAUUGCCCUGGAGACUACUCACAGGUGCCCAACCUGCAGGGUGGAACUUACUCCAGAUCUGUAUAUUCCCAUUUAUAUAUGAGUGCUUCUGCUUCUCAGGACACACUCAGAUGGAUCUUGGACAAUAGUCUUUAUGUAUAUAGUUCUUCCUGUUUCUUUAUGUAUAUAGUUCUUCCUGCACAUAGUUUCAUUUUUUGCUGAAUUCAAUUUAAAUAAAGUUUUGAAUAGUUGAAA